AUUUUUGUAGCUUAAUUAAAGUGCCAUAUUGAAGCUAUGGAGAUGGACAUGCGCCUUAAAAUA
Molecule: transfer RNA, 63 nt
Filed under: Calanus sinicus
Lineage: Eukaryota; Metazoa; Arthropoda; Copepoda; Calanoida; Calanidae
Description: tRNA-Phe
Source: RNAcentral